UCAUAUUCUCUAGUUUAUUUAGCUGUGUUUAUACUUCACCUGCAUGUGGUUAGCAAACUGCUAACAACUUGCUGUAACUUCAACUUGACAACACUGUUCACUUUCAAAUAGUUGGUCUAAAUCACAAUAUAAAUCCAACAGAAUUGUGCUUUUCUGUAUAUGAAAAUCAGUGGUGUUAUGUUUAAAAUGUUAAAAAGCUCAGCAGGAGGGCACUGUAAAUCUUGUUGCUGAAACCUUCUUGAAAAACACAUACCCACCAGGGAAUUUUUUUAUAGGUUACUUUUAUCAUUUUGUAUAAGCAGAAACACCCAUGUCAUACUGAUAAAGUAUAUAUCCAAUAUGGUAUCUUGUUUUGGAAGGCACCCUUCCAAAACACCACUUUUUUUUUUUUUUUUUUCUUUCAAAACACCACUUAUACACACAUUUAAACGCGAUCAAGUAAGCAAUCGCCACGUGAUCUGCCAUGACUGACGUAAUUGCAGCAAACUACGGGAGCCACAACGUGUCCGGCUUCAUAUCUCCGCUUGCAGCUCCUCCCCACCUGCACGCGGCUACUCUCGCCGAUCGGUUGCAUCCAGCCGCAGCCGAUGUCGAACACACCUAACAUGUUCUGGCAUAGGAGGCUAGUGUUCUGGCAUGAAAAUAAUGAAAAAUUAGCGUGAAAAAAAGAAUAUAAUCCUACAAAAUGCAGCGGGAUAAAGAAAACAUUGUGGGACCAACUAAAUUCUAAUGCAAAGAGGAGAUAUGACGAGAAAAUAAAGAGAAUCAAAGGACUCGAUCCUUACGAGCAGAGCGACUGGUCAAGAUGCAGAAGAUCGCGACUGCAGAUACGAUCAACAGAGAUCCAGCAGCCGCUGCAGAGAUCAACACUAUCAGAGAGACAGAGUCUGGAGGAUAAGAAGGAGAGGAUGAACAAAAGAGAGACGUCAGUGUUCAGGUCUGUCUGCGGCUGCUGUAGCAGAGAUUGGUGGUGUUGAUCUUCUGCUGGUGGCUGCAGUUGCAGUUUUAGUUGCUCUUGUGAUUCACUAUCGCCGCAAGGUCUUUGAACUAGAAAGACGUUCAGGUAAGUAUCACCCGUACAGUUCAUGUAAUAUGGGAAAAACUAAAAGCUUGGUUACCAUUAAGACAAUAACAGAAGAAGGGGAGAAACAGAAGUACUGAGAGCUGUGUCUCUGUAGAAAAUGCAAAUUUAACACAGUUUCUGCAGAUGAUAGAGUUUGAUCUCUUUAAUAUGUCUGGGUUUGUAGGAGUAUGAUGUACCUGCUUCAUAAUGGUGUUAUUGAAGAUAGUCAAUAUUAAACAGCUUUACAAAUCAGUAAACAUUUUUCAUCUCUAAACAACAUUACAAAAAAAGAAAACAGUGAGUAUUGAAGACAGCACUGACCUUGUGCUUUUUUAAAAUCAAAGAGCAAACCGUGUCAUUCUGAACAUACUUUGAAAAGGAAAAGUCAUGUAUUACCCGAAGCUAACCUAAAAAAAACUUAGACGUCCCAAUGACCAGGUGAUGACGCUGACCCCAGACAGCAUGAGGAGAUCCCUCAGCAGGAUCAACGCACGCAAAGCUCUGGGUGUGUACUGAGAGACUGUGCAUCACAGACAUUUUCAACAUCUCACUAAGUCAGGCUGUUGUCCAAACAACUCCAACCUCUUCAUUAAGUUUGCAGAUGACAAACGGGUCUCAUUAGCUACAGAGAUGAGACAAACUACAGGAGCGAGGUGAGCUACCUGGCCAGGUGGUGCAGUGAAAACUAUCUCUCUCUGAACGUGGAGAAGAUGAAGAAGAUUGUUGUUGACUUCAGGAGAGUGCAGCUGAUACUCCUGCUCCACUGACCAUCAACAGUGUGACUGUGGAGAGAGUGAGCAGGACCAAGUUCCUUUGUGUGCACAUCACAGAGGAUCUCUCCUGGACUGAAAACACCGCAGCACUGGCCAAAAAAUCACAGCAGCAUCUCUACUUCCUCCGCAAACUGAGUAGAGCCAGAGCCCCGGCCCCCAUCAUGUACACCUUCUACAGAGGCACCAUCAAGAGCAUCCUGUCGAGCUGCAUCACUGUGUGGUAUGCCGCCUGCUAGGACUGCACAAUGUGUCGUUUAAGCAUCGAUAUCGCAAUGUACAAAUCCACGAUAGUCACAUCGCAGGAUGUGCGAUGUAGGCUCUUGUAGUUUAUCUGUUAUUCAUUAACUGUACGGGCCAGCUGCUCCCGGCCCUUGACAAAUGUGAUUCGCGGAUUAAUUGCACAGCUUAACCAUCAGCGAGUGAAAUUUUAUCAUUGACAGGACUGAAAACCACAUGUAAGUUUAACAGGGCAGAGAGAGAGAGAGUGCGA
Molecule: long non-coding RNA, 2326 nt
Organism: Carassius gibelio (silver crucian carp)
Lineage: Eukaryota; Metazoa; Chordata; Actinopteri; Cypriniformes; Cyprinidae
Exons: 3
Source: RefSeq, a predicted model, not a curated record